RNAcentral lists this ribosomal RNA (955 nucleotides) under Protocreopsis rutila. RNAcentral's name for it is "Acremonium rutilum partial 18S ribosomal RNA". It matches the Rfam family "Eukaryotic small subunit ribosomal RNA", at positions 51 to 1016 of the family's 1831-position model. Lineage: Eukaryota; Fungi; Ascomycota; Sordariomycetes; Hypocreales; Bionectriaceae. The record is from RNAcentral.
AUGCAUGUCUAAGUAUAAGCAAUUAUACAGCGAAACUGCGAAUGGCUCAUUAUAUAAGUUAUCGUUUAUUUGGUAGCAACUUACUACUUGGAUAACCGUGGUAAUUCUAGAGCUAAUACAUGCUAAAAACCCCGACUUCGGAACGGGUGUAUUUAUUAGAUUAAAAACCAAUGCCCUCCGGGGCUCCUUGGUGAUUCAUGAUAACUUGGCGAAUCGCAUGGCCUUGCGCCGGCGAUGUUUCAUUCAAAUUUCUUCCCUAUCAACUUUCGAUGUUCGGGUAUUGGCCAAACAUGGUUGCAACGGGUAACGGAGGGUUAGGGCUCGACCCCGGAGAAGGAGCCUGAGAAACGGCUACUACAUCCANGGAAGGCAGCAGGCGCGCAAAUUACCCAAUCCCGACACGGGGAGGUAGUGACAAUAAAUACUGAUACAGGGCUCUUUUGGGUCUUGUAAUUGGAAUGAGUACAAUUUAAAUCCCUUAACGAGGAACAAUUGGAGGGNNNNNNNNNNNNNNNNNNNNNNNNNNNNUCCAGCUCCAAUAGCGUAUAUUAAAGUUGUUGUGGUUAAAAAGCUCGUAGUUGAACCUUGGGCCUGGCUGGCCGGUCCGCCUCACCGCGUGUACUGGUCCGGCCGGGCCUUUCCCUCUGUGGAACCCCAUGCCCUNCACUGGGUGUGGCGGGGAAACAGGACUUUUACUUUGAAAAAAUUAGAGUGCUCCAGGCAGGCCUAUGCUCGAAUACAUUAGCAUGGAAUAAUGAAAUAGGACGUGUGGUNCUAUUUUGUUGGUUUCUAGGACCGCCGUAAUGAUUAAUAGGGACAGUCGGGGGCAUCAGUAUUCAAUCGNCAGAGGUGAAAUUCUUGGAUCGAUUGAAGACUAACUACUGCGAAAGCAUUUGUCAAGGAUGUUUUCAUUAAUCAGGAACGAAAGUUAGGGGAUCGAAGACGAUCAGAUACC